RNAcentral lists this unclassified non-coding RNA (261 nucleotides) under Hevea brasiliensis (rubber tree). The record is from RNAcentral. Lineage: Eukaryota; Viridiplantae; Streptophyta; Magnoliopsida; Malpighiales; Euphorbiaceae.
CUAACAUGAUUUAACUAAUUACCAGAUCUCUUCAACAGUCGUUGUCUCUAUGGAGCUCACAUUUCCCACCAUUCCUGCCAUCUGUGCUUUCCUUCUUCUUCUCUUCAUGCUAACCCUGCUACUUAAAAAAAAGGUCAACAACAACUCAACCCUUAAGCUCCCACCGGGGCCCUGGAAAUUGCCUUUUGUUGGAAACAUUCACUGUCUUCUGGGCUCACUCCUUCAUCACAAGCUUGCAGAUUUGGCCAAGAAAUAUGGACC